RNAcentral lists this ribosomal RNA (869 nucleotides) under Phellinidium ferrugineofuscum. Its description in RNAcentral is "eukaryotic LSU rRNA". It matches the Rfam family "Eukaryotic large subunit ribosomal RNA", at positions 66 to 915 of the family's 3401-position model. The record is from RNAcentral. Lineage: Eukaryota; Fungi; Basidiomycota; Agaricomycetes; Hymenochaetales; Hymenochaetaceae.
UAACAAGGAUUCCCCUAGUAACUGCGAGUGAAGCGGGAAAAGCUCAAAUUUAAAAUCUGGCGGCUUUGCUGUCCGAGUUGUAAUCUGGAGAAGCGUUUUCCGCGUCGGACCGUGUACAAGUCUCUUGGAACAGAGCGUCAUAGAGGGUGAGAAUCCCGUCCAUGACACGGACUACCGAUGCUUUGUGAUACGCUCUCGAAGAGUCGAGUUGUUUGGGAAUGCAGCUCAAAAUGGGUGGUAAAUUCCAUCUAAAGCUAAAUAUUGGCGAGAGACCGAUAGCGAACAAGUACCGUGAGGGAAAGAUGAAAAGCACUUUGGAAAGAGAGUUAAACAGUACGUGAAAUUGUUGAAAGGGAAACGCUUGAAGUCAGUCGCGUCUUGCAGGACUCAGCCUUGCUUCUGCUUGCGUGUACUUCCUGUAGGACGGGUCAACAUCGAUUUUGGUCGACGGACAAAGGGGAUGGGAAUGUGGCAGUCUUCGGGCUGUGUUAUAGCCCUCUUCCGCAUACGUCGACUGGGAUCGAGGACCGCAGCGCGCCUUUAAUGGCCGGGAGUUCGCUCCACGUAUCGCGCUUAGGAUGUUGGCAUAAUGGCUCUAAGCGACCCGUCUUGAAACACGGACCAAGGAGUUUAACAUGCUUGCGAGUGUUAGGGUGGAAAACCCUUGCGCGUAAUGAAAGUGAAAGUUGAGAACCUCCGCAAGGGGGUGCACCGACGCCCGGCCCUGAAGUUUACCGACGGUGCUGCGGUAGAGCACGUAUGUUGGGACCCGAAAGAUGGUGAACUAUGCCUGAAUAGGGCGAAGCCAGAGGAAACUCUGGUGGAGGCUCGUAGCGAUUCUGACGUGCAAAUCGAUCGUCAAAUUUGGG